RNAcentral lists this ribosomal RNA (484 nucleotides) under uncultured bacterium. RNAcentral's name for it is "partial 16S ribosomal RNA". It matches the Rfam family "Bacterial small subunit ribosomal RNA", at positions 30 to 507 of the family's 1533-position model. The record is from RNAcentral.
AUUGAACGCUGGCGGCAGGCCUAACACAUGCAAGUCGAGCGGAUGAAGGGAGCUUGCUCCUGGCUUCAGCGGCGGACGGGUGAGUAAUGCCUAGGAAUCUGCCUGGUAGUGGGGGAUAACGUCCGUAAACGGGCGCUAAUACCGCAUACGUCCUUAGGGAGAAAGUGGGGGAUCUUCGGACCUCACGCUAUCAGAUGACCCUAGGUCGGAUUAGCUAGUUGGUGGGGUAAAGGCCUACCAAGGCGACGAUCCGUAACUGGUCUGAGAGGAUGAUCAGUCACACUGGAACUGAGACACGGUCCAGACUCCUACGGGAGGCAGCAGUGGGGAAUAUUGGACAAUGGGCGAAAGCCUGAUCCAGCCAUGCCGCGUGUGUGAAGAAGGUCUUCGGAUUGUAAAGCACUUUAAGUUGGGAGGAAGGGCAGUAAGUUAAUACCUUGCUGUUUUGACGUUACCAACAGAAUAAGCACCGGCUAACUUCGUG